UACAGAGGUCCCAAGCGUUGUUCGGAUUCAUUGGGCGUAAAGGGUGCGUAGGUGGCGCUGUAAGUCGGGUGUGAAAUUUCGGAGCUUAACUCCGAAACUGCAUUCGAUACUGCGGUGCUUGAGGACUGGAGAGGAGACUGGAAUUCAUGGUGUAGCAGUGAAAUGCGUAGAGAUCAUGAGGAAGACCAGUGGCGAAGGCGGGUCUCUGGACAGUUCCUGACACUGAGGCACGAAGGCCAGGGGAGCAAACGGG
Molecule: ribosomal RNA, 253 nt
Filed under: uncultured bacterium
Lineage: Bacteria
Description: partial 16S ribosomal RNA
Rfam family: Bacterial small subunit ribosomal RNA
Source: RNAcentral